GAAUUUUGGACAAUGGGCGAAAGCCUGAUCCAGCAAUGCCGCGUGCAGGAUGAAGGCCUUCGGGUUGUAAACUGCUUUUGUACGGAACGAAAAGCUUUGGGUUAAUCCCCCCGUGUCAUGACCGUCCCGUAAGACUUAGCACCGGCUCACACAGUGCCACCAGCCGCGGUAAUCAGUAAGGUGCAAGCGUUAUUCGGAAUUACUUGGCGUAAAGCGUGCGCAGGCGGUUUUGUAAGACAGAGGUGAAAUCCCCGGGCUCAACCUGGGAACUGCCUUUGUGACUGCAAGGCUAGAGUACGGCAGAGGUGGGUGGAAUUCCGCGUGUAGCAGUGAAAUGCGUAGAUAUGCGGAGGAACACCGAUGGCGAAGGCAACCCCCUGGGCCUGUACUGACGCUCAUGCACGAAAGCGUGGGGAGCAAACA
RNAcentral lists this ribosomal RNA (423 nucleotides) under uncultured bacterium. RNAcentral's name for it is "partial 16S ribosomal RNA". It matches the Rfam family "Bacterial small subunit ribosomal RNA", at positions 359 to 774 of the family's 1533-position model. The record is from RNAcentral.